GAUGAACGCUGGCGGCGUGCCUAACACAUGCAAGUCGAGCGAUUCUCUUCGGAGAAGAGCGGCGGACGGGUGAGUAACGCGUGGGUAACCUGCCCUGUACACACGGAUAACAUACCGAAAGGUAUGCUAAUACGAGAUAAUAUACUUUUAUCGCAUGGUAGGAGUAUAAAAGCUUUUGCGGUACAGGAUGGACCUGCGUCUGAUUAGCUAGUUGGUAAGGUAACGGCUUACCAAGGCGACGCUCAGUAGCCGACCUGAGAGGGUGAUCGGCCACAUUGGAACUGAGACACGGUCCAAACUCCUACGGGAGGCAGCAGUGGGGAAUAUUGCACAAUGGGCGAAAGCCUGAUGCAGCAACGCCGCGUGAGCGAUGAAGGCCUUCGGGUCGUAAAGCUCUGUCCUCAAGGAAGAUAAUGACGGUACUUGAGGAGGAAGCCCCGGCUAACUACGUGCCAGCAGCCGCCGCAG
RNAcentral lists this ribosomal RNA (468 nucleotides) under uncultured bacterium. Its description in RNAcentral is "partial 16S ribosomal RNA". It matches the Rfam family "Bacterial small subunit ribosomal RNA", at positions 28 to 523 of the family's 1533-position model. The record is from RNAcentral.